This 134-nucleotide unclassified non-coding RNA is filed under the name synthetic construct. Its description in RNAcentral is "RNA nano bracelet from synthetic construct (PDB 7JRT, chain B)". The record is from RNAcentral.
GGAUAUUCGACGGAGGCACCCAGGAACUACCGUUGAAGCUCGCACGACGGCCUGGGGUCGAGUAUCCCGGUAUUUGUCGCGAGCACUGAGGAACUACUGCUGAAGCCUCCACGGCAGCCUCAGGACAAGUACCG